Molecule: ribosomal RNA, 661 nt
Filed under: Botryococcus sp. AKS-12
Lineage: Eukaryota; Viridiplantae; Chlorophyta; Trebouxiophyceae
Description: eukaryotic LSU rRNA
Rfam family: 5.8S ribosomal RNA (bases 225-376)
Source: RNAcentral
AAAAAGGUGGGGGAGGCCGGAGGAUAUUGAUUAUCAAUACCACAACGUGAACCUAACGUCCAUGCCCCUGAGCCGCUGCUGCCUUAAUUGGCAGCAGUGUUGGGUACUUGUUUAUUCAAGCAAGUGCCCAAAUGCGUAGGCAAGCAUGGUUGCCGACGCUUAUUGCAAAUACCCUUAAUCUGAGACAUGAUAUGGCCAUGCAUUUGGCUGUACUUGACCAAGACAACUCGCAACAACGGAUAUCUUGGCACUCUCAACAAUGAAGAACGCAGCGAAAUGCCAUACGUAGUGUGAGUUGCACAAUUCCGUGAACCAUGCCCCGUUUGCGCAUAUUGCACUCGCGGCUUCGGCCAAGAGUAUGUCUGCCUCAGCGUCGGUUUGUUGACCCCUCACCCCUCAUUCACUUGUGGAUGCAGUGCAGCUGGCUAUGGCCUGGCUUGCCCGGGGUGGAUCUGACAUUCCCACAUGCCAAGGCGUGUGGGUCUGUUGAAGCACAGUGGCAUUGCAAGGUCCCUACAUGGGCACAACUGGAUAACGUGGUAUUCACUGCGCGAAAGUUGUUGUCUUGGAGCCUUGACUGCUGCCAACCAAGGAACCAAUCAAUCAUUCUGACCUGAGCUCUAGGCAAGAUUACCCGCUAAACUUAAGGCAAUCCUGGCCU